GACGAACGCUGGCGGCGUGCUUAACACAUGCAAGUCGAACGGAAAGGCCCUGCUUUUGUGGGGUGCUCGAGUGGCGAACGUGUGAGUAUCACGUGAGUAACCUGCCCUUGACUUUGGGAUAACUUCAGGAAACUGGGGCUAAUACCGGAUAGGAGCUACUGCUGCAUGGUGGGGGUUGGAAAGUUUCGGCGGUUGGGGAUGGACUCGCGGCUUAUCAGCUUGUUGGUGGGGUAGUGGCUUACCAAGGCUUUGACGGGUAGCCGGCCUGCGAGGGUGACCGGCCACAUUGGGACUGAGAUACGGCCCAGACUCCUACGGGAGGCAGCAGUGGGGAAUAUUGCACAAUGGGCGGAAGCCUGAUGCAGCAACGCCGCGUGCGGGAUGACGGCCUUCGGGUUGUAAACCGCUUUCGCCUGUGACGAAGCGUGAGUGACGGUAAUGGGUAAAGAAGCACCGGCUAACUACGUG
This 468-nucleotide ribosomal RNA is filed under the name uncultured bacterium. RNAcentral describes it as "partial 16S ribosomal RNA". It matches the Rfam family "Bacterial small subunit ribosomal RNA", at positions 28 to 507 of the family's 1533-position model. The record is from RNAcentral.